Molecule: ribosomal RNA, 485 nt
Filed under: uncultured bacterium
Lineage: Bacteria
Description: partial 16S ribosomal RNA
Rfam family: Bacterial small subunit ribosomal RNA
Source: RNAcentral
GACGAACGCUGGCGGCGUGCUUAACACAUGCAAGUCGAACGGUGAAAGGGGAGCUUGCUCCGCUGGAUCAGUGGCGAACGGGUGAGUAACACGUGGGCAACCUGCCCCUCACUUCGGGAUAACUCCGGGAAACCGGGGCUAAUACCGGAUAUGACCUCCUUGGGCAUCCUUGGAGGUGGAAAGUUUUUCGGUGAGGGAUGGGCCCGCGGCCUAUCAGCUUGUUGGGGAGGUAGUGGCUCACCAAGGCGACGACGGGUAGCCGGCCUGAGAGGGCGACCGGCCACACUGGGACUGAGACACGGCCCAGACUCCUACGGGAGGCAGCAGUGGGGAAUAUUGCGCAAUGGGCGAAAGCCUGACGCAGCAACGCCGCGUGCGGGAUGACGGCCUUCGGGUUGUAAACCGCUUUCAGCAGGGAAGAAGCCGCAAGGUGACGGUACCUGCAGAAGAAGCACCGGCUAACUACGUGCCAGCCGCCGCAGUAA